Molecule: ribosomal RNA, 528 nt
Filed under: uncultured bacterium
Lineage: Bacteria
Description: bacterial SSU rRNA
Rfam family: Bacterial small subunit ribosomal RNA
Source: RNAcentral
UGGGCGCAAGCCUGAUCCAGCCAUGCCGCGUGAGUGACGAAGGCCUUAGGGUUGUAAAGCUCUUUUGGCGGGGACGAUAAUGACGGUACCCGCAGAAUAAGCCCCGGCUAACUUCGUGCCAGCAGCCGCGGUAAUACGAAGGGGGCUAGCGUUGUUCGGAAUUACUGGGCGUAAAGCGCACGUAGGCGGAUUUGUUAGUCAGGGGUGAAAUCCCGGGGCUCAACCUCGGAACUGCCUUUGAUACUGCAAGUCUCGAGUCCGGAAGAGGUGAGUGGAAUUCCUAGUGUAGAGGUGAAAUUCGUAGAUAUUAGGAAGAACACCAGUGGCGAAGGCGGCUCACUGGUCCGGUACUGACGCUGAGGUUCGAAAGCGUGGGGAGCAAACAGGAUUAGAUACCCUGGUAGUCCACGCCGUAAACGAUGGGUGCUAGCCGUCGGCAAGCUUGCUUGUCGGUGGCGCAGCUAACGCAUUAAGCAUCCCGCCUGGGGAGUACGGCCGCAAGGUUAAAACUCAAAUGAAUUGACGGAA